Molecule: long non-coding RNA, 398 nt
Filed under: Citrus maxima (pomelo)
Lineage: Eukaryota; Viridiplantae; Streptophyta; Magnoliopsida; Sapindales; Rutaceae
Description: long non-coding RNA (CMAX_LNC000572)
Source: RNAcentral
CAGUCAUCGUGCACACCCAGAUCCAACUGCUCGACUGAUGCAACGUUCUACUAAAAUGCAAAACCAAGCCACCAUGACAUGUUGAUGAGGCCUGGUGCAGUUUGCUCCACUGUAGCCACUGCUUUUUUGCUUGACUUUGACCAUGCCACCUUGAAGUCGACCGAACGCCAUCUUCUUAGAUUCAAGCCCAGUUGGCAGCCACACCAAGUUCCAACAGUGAAAUUUUUAUCUAAUCCAAACUAUGUUUGAAUUAGAUUACAAAUUCAUAUACGUGUGAAUUAUUUUUUUUCCAACUCGAUGAAUCUAAAACUCGAUCAAGUUGGUUCGAACCUAAAUUUGCCCACUCUACUAGCCAUAUAAGUAGGGAUCAAUUUUCUAUUUAUUUACUUAUACCUGCU